AUUGAACGCUGGCGGCAGGCCUAAUACAUGCAAGUCGAACGGUAACAUAAAAGAAGCUUGCUUCUUUUGAUGACGAGUGGCGGACGGGUGAGUAAUAUUUGGGAAACUACCUGAUAGAGGGGGACAACAGUUGGAAACGACUGCUAAUACCGCAUAAAGCCUAAGGGUGAAAGCAGCAAUGCGCUAUCAGAUGUGCCCAAACGGGAUUAGCUAGUAGGUGAGGUAAAGGCUCACCUAGGCGACGAUCUCUAGCUGGUCUGAGAGGAUGAUCAGCCACAUUGGGACUGAGACACGGCCCAGACUCCUACGGGAGGCAGCAGUAGGGAAUAUUGCACAAUGGAGGAAACUCUGAUGCAGCCAUGCCGCGUGUGUGAAGAAGGCC
RNAcentral lists this ribosomal RNA (382 nucleotides) under uncultured bacterium. RNAcentral describes it as "bacterial SSU rRNA". It matches the Rfam family "Bacterial small subunit ribosomal RNA", at positions 30 to 416 of the family's 1533-position model. The record is from RNAcentral.